GCUGGGCGCAGUGGCGCACUCCUGUAAUCCCAGUGGCUCAGGAGGCUGAGACAGGAGGAUCAAGAGCUCAAAGCCAGCUUCUGCAAAGGUGAGGCACUAAGCAACUCAGUAAGACUCUGUCUCUA
Molecule: small RNA, 125 nt
Filed under: Marmota monax (woodchuck)
Lineage: Eukaryota; Metazoa; Chordata; Mammalia; Rodentia; Sciuridae
Source: RNAcentral